Molecule: ribosomal RNA, 492 nt
Filed under: uncultured bacterium
Lineage: Bacteria
Description: partial 16S ribosomal RNA
Rfam family: Bacterial small subunit ribosomal RNA
Source: RNAcentral
AGUGAACGCUGGCGGUAGGCCUAACACAUGCAAGUCGAACGGCAGCACAGUAAGAGCUUGCUCUUACGGGUGGCGAGUGGCGGACGGGUGAGGAAUACAUCGGAAUCUACUUUUUCGUGGGGGAUAACGUAGGGAAACUUACGCGAAUACCGCAUACGACCUACGGGUGAAAGCAGGGGAUCUUCGGACCUUGCGCGAUUGAAUGAGCCGAUGUCGGAUUAGCUAGUUGGCGGGGUAAAGGCCCACCAAGGCGACGAUCCGUAGCUGGUCUGAGAGGAUGAUCAGCCACACUGGAACUGAGACACGGUCCAGACUCCUACGGGAGGCAGCAGUGGGGAAUAUUGGACAAAGGGCGCAAGCCUGAUCCAGCCAUACCGCGUGGGUGAAGAAGGACUUCGGGUUGUAAAGCCCUUUUGUUGGGAAAGAAAAGCAGCAGGUUAAUACCCCGCUGUUCUGACGGUACCCAAAGAAUAAGCACCGGCUAACUUCGUG